GGUCUGAGGACUCGCAGGGCCAGACCGGAUGGAGGGUGGGGGCAGGAGACACCGGCUGCAGGGCGGAGCUGGCUCUCCAGCCCUUCGGGGGGAGGAGGUAGCAAGGAGCAGGGCUGCUCAGGCAGGGCGUCCCCAGACCAGCCCUUGUGGCUCUCACCCAGGGCAGGGCGUCCCCAGGCAGCCCCCAGGGAGAGCCGCACUGGCUGGCACUGGCUGUACCUCGGUUAUUCUGUGGACGAUACAUGCGUCGGGGCUGAAAAGAGGCACCACACCCAACUCGGUGCAAUAAAUAAAACUUUUAUUCAAACAACUGCAGCACAGGGCACAAUUAAGAUUAAAAAAAAAAAAAAAAANAAAGAGGAAAAGAAACAAGUAUUUUCAGCGCUUUACGUCUUCACACAGCCGCGGUUUUGUGUCUACGUCCUUCCACUGCGCGUGGAAUCCCUGGGUUUGAGGUCUCUCAGCAGAGCUAGAACGCCGACGCAGAAGGUUCUUUUUACACAGGUCCGUGCUCUGGCUUGUUUUUCCCUUAGUUAUAAAACGGGCUCUGCCUGGAGCUGCUCUCCUCACAAACGCUACCAGCCACGUCCGAGCCCACGGGAGGGGCGGGAGGCUUUUGCGAAGUCACACCAGAAAGAGGAGCAUCUGAAGUUUCGCGGGGCCGCGCCCUCGCUCCCUUCCCAGGGUCAGGGUGUGGAGACGCAAGGCCAGGGGCUGCUCCGAAGCCGCCGAGACACAGGGGACACGAGCGCGCCGAUGGAGGGGGCAGGGACCACCUGCGCCACUGGGCCAGCCUCGUGCCCCUGCCCCGUGCAGCUGAGACUCCAUCACAGGCUGGUUAAAGAAACAUUUCCAGAACUCGUAGGCUUGGGGCUGGUCUCUGGAGGUCCUUGGAAUGUCCGAGUGUGGCCAGACCCCUCCACGCCAGUUCACCGUGUGGUCACUGUGCCCCAAGGCUGGCGCCGCGCUCUGUCUGUACACUGUCAGACGGCGUCGGGGCAGCAGGCCCUCCGGAGCCCGGCCUGGGCGGCGGGCAGGGCCGGGCCGGGGCUGCGGCCUCCCUCACAGGAGCGGCCAGCUUCCUCAGGAGGCUUCCCGGGCUCAGCCGAACCCCUCUCUGGGCGCGGCCCUGGAAGGGUGCCCCCCGCACUCCGCCCAUCCCGACAGGUGCCAGCGUGUGCUGGGGGAUCAGAUGCAGAGAUAACAGUACGUACACCGGAGUCCAUGCAGAUCUGUUUUUUUUCAGGAAAAGUUCUUUUCCCGUUUUUCUUUUUUUUU
Molecule: long non-coding RNA, 1278 nt
Filed under: Camelus dromedarius (Arabian camel)
Lineage: Eukaryota; Metazoa; Chordata; Mammalia; Artiodactyla; Camelidae
Description: lncRNA (ENSCDRG00005013089.1)
Source: RNAcentral